This is a non-coding RNA of Sarcoptes scabiei, 78 nucleotides long. The record is from Rfam. Lineage: Eukaryota; Metazoa; Arthropoda; Arachnida; Sarcoptiformes; Sarcoptidae.
UCUUUGUGAAAGACAUGGGUAGUGAGAUGUUCCAAUCUAAAAUCAAAUUCAUCUCACUACCUUGUCUUUGACGAAGCA